CAGUCGCCGCGGGAAUACAGAGGGUGCGAGCGUUAAUCGGAUUUACUGGGCGUAAAGCGUGCGUAGGCGGCUAAUUGAGUCGGAUGUGAAAUCCCCGAGCUUAACUUGGGAAUUGCAUUCGAUACUGGUUAGCUAGAGUGUGGGAGAGGAUGGUAGAAUUCCAGGUGUAGCGGUGAAAUGCGUAGAGAUCUGGAGGAAUACCGAUGGCGAAGGCAGCCAUCUGGCCUAAUACUGACGCUGAGGUACGAAAGCAUGGGGAGCAAACAGGAUUAGAUACCCCAGUAGUCCCUGUCUCUUAUAC
This 301-nucleotide ribosomal RNA is filed under the name uncultured bacterium. RNAcentral's name for it is "partial 16S ribosomal RNA". It matches the Rfam family "Bacterial small subunit ribosomal RNA", at positions 509 to 807 of the family's 1533-position model. The record is from RNAcentral.